Molecule: ribosomal RNA, 774 nt
Filed under: uncultured Neocallimastigales
Lineage: Eukaryota; Fungi; Neocallimastigomycota; Neocallimastigomycetes; Neocallimastigales
Description: partial large subunit ribosomal RNA
Rfam family: Eukaryotic large subunit ribosomal RNA
Source: RNAcentral
UCAGACGAUGCGUCAUGCAUAUCAAUAAGCGGAGGAAAAGAAACUAACAAGGAUUCCCCUAGUAACGGCGAGUGAAGCGGGAGGAGCUCAAAUUUGAAAUCUUAAAGGGUUUCCCUUUACGAAUUGUAGUUUAAAGAAGUGUUUUCUGUUGAGGUUUUGGUAAAAGUUCUUUGGAAUAGGACAUCAUAGAGGGUGAGAAUCCCGUAUUUGACCUUUACUUUCAACUUUGUGAUACACUUUCAAAGAGUCGGAUUGUUUGGGAAUGCAGUCCAAAAUGGGUGGUAAAUUUCAUCUAAAGCUAAAUAUUGGCGAGAGACCGAUAGCGAACAAGUACCGUGAGGGAAAGAUGAAAAGAACUUUGAAAAGAGAGUUAAACAGUACGUGAAAUUGUCAAAAGGGAAGCGUUUGACACCAGUGUUGUUUUUCUGAAAAUCAAUUAAAGAACUGUUUAUGCUAAGUUGUUUAGACUUUAUCAGCUAUCUGUUUAGUUUUGAGCUUUUCUUUAAUGCACUUUUCAGUUAACAAGUCAACAUCAAUUUCUUUUGCUGUAAAAAAGCUUGAGGAAGGUGGCUUGAGAUUCGUCUUAAGUGUUUAUAGCCUCUUGCCUAUGCAGUCGGAGAGAUUGAGGUCUGCAGCGUAGAUCCUUCGGGGCUAAAUGCAUUUGUGCUAAGUUAUAGCAUUUUAUAGACAACUUGUUGACUAUGAUUUGUCUUGUAGCUUACUCGCUUAUGUUAUUUUACCUACGCUUAGGAUGUUGACACACGCGCGUGCUCG